GGAUGUGAACGUGACCUGACUGUAAGCCUCCACUUCUCACUGAUAACCAAGGUUUAUACUUUUGAUCUGAUGAGCUGCACUGGGCUUCUCCUUCCUCCUUUACUUUUCCAGGAAGGUCCCUCCUGAAGUUCCACUGCUGACAGUAAAAGGUGACCUUCUCAGGUACAGGAGGCUGUUCCUUGAAGGGGAGAAGCAGCGGUGGGGCUCUUGGACACAGGGCUUGGGAGAGAACCAUCUCCCCGAAGCUCCAACUGACCACUCUAUUUGCAAAUGGCAUCUCCCUGU
Molecule: small RNA, 285 nt
Filed under: Vulpes vulpes (red fox)
Lineage: Eukaryota; Metazoa; Chordata; Mammalia; Carnivora; Canidae
Description: 7SK RNA (ENSVVUG00000025704.1)
Rfam family: 7SK RNA (bases 1-207)
About the family: 7SK was discovered as an abundant small nuclear RNA in the mid-70s but a possible function has only recently been suggested. Two independent studies have found that 7SK RNA binds the CDK9/cyclin T complex (known as elongation factor P-TEFb).
Source: RNAcentral